GCAACGCCAACCUAAAGAAGGAAAGGCCAGUUUUCAUUUCUUUCAUAGCUCGAAGGUCACGGAGGUCAUAACGUAAUACGUAUCAUGCGACGGCGGAGAGGUUGGGUGAGAAAGGAGAGAGAAAAGGCCAGAGACAUCAGUCGAGUGAGGAUCUCCGACACGGAAACAUCUGCUGCGCACUAUCUGUCACCUUCUGCCUUCUUCACCGUAUUGCCAGUUCGCAUCCAUGGUUAAUGGGUGUUGUAUCGUUGUUUGGUGGGUCGACCACUGGUGUACCGAUGUCUUCUUGGUAUGGCGGAUACCAAGCCGCAGACCAGUUAUUGCACCAAGGUCUACAAGUACUACACUACUAAGGCACCGGAGUUUUAUACCACAAUUUCCGCUGCCCCGAGCCACUACACUGACGUCCUGAAGUAUUACUCUGCCCCGAGUUACUACACCACCAAGGCGACGGAGUAUGACUAUGCAUGCUGCCCCAUCCUACUACAUCGAGGCUCCCAAGUAUUACUGUGUUCUGAGCUACUUAUUGCGCCGAUUUUCCUAAAUACUACUCUGUUCCCAGCUGCUACACCGAGGCUCGCGCUGAUUACUCCACCGAAGCGGCAAAGUACUUCUCUGCCCCGAUCUACACAACCACAACUGAGGCGGCCAAGUAUUACGCUGUCCCGACGUACUACAGAGAAGCUGCUCUUUCGUGCUACGUUGAACAGAAAUACUACACUGAUGCUCCAGUUCACUACACUACGACCGACGCUAAACCGCAGCCCCCAGGUACUACACCGAAGAAGCCGCCUAUUACAUAACAACGUAUGCUGCCCCUCCCUACUACACCGAGGCCCCGCAUUACUACAACACUGAAUCGCUCAAUUACUACACUACAACUACGCUGCCCUGA
RNAcentral lists this long non-coding RNA (895 nucleotides) under Daphnia pulex (common water flea). RNAcentral describes it as "uncharacterized LOC124193203, transcript variant X2". The record is from RNAcentral. Lineage: Eukaryota; Metazoa; Arthropoda; Branchiopoda; Diplostraca; Daphniidae.